UAAUACUCCAUAGAUAAGAGACACUGGAAUGUUCUUUAGUCGAAAGUUCUGGCGCCUUAGGAUGGAUCUGCGGUCGAUUAGGUUGUUGUUGGGGUAACGGCCCAACAAGCCUGUAAUCGAUACGGGUUGUGGGAGCAAGAGCCCGGAGAUGGAAUCUGAGACACGAUUCCAGGCCCUACGGGGCGCAGCAGGCGCGAAAACUUUACAAUGCAGGAAACUGUGAUAAGGGAACUCCGAGUGCCCGUAUACGCGGGCUGUCCAGGUGUUUAAAAAUCAUCUGAAGAAAGGGCCGGGCAAGACCGGUGCCAGCCGCCGCGGUAAUACCGGCGGCUCGAGUGGUGGCCACUAUUAUUGGGCUUAAAGCGUCCGUAGCUGGACCGAUAAGUCUCUUGGGAAAUCCGCCGGCUCAACCGGCGGGCGUCUAAGGGAUACUGUUAGUCUAGGGACCGGGAGAGGUGAGAGGUACUCCGGGGGUAGGAGUGAAAUCCUGUAAUCCCCGGGGGACCACCGAUGGCGAAGGCAUCUCACCAGAACGGCUCCGACAGUGAGGGACGAAAGCUGGAGGAGCGAACCGGAUUAGAUACCCGGGUAGUCCCAGCCGUAAACUAUGCGCGUUAGGUGU
RNAcentral lists this ribosomal RNA (622 nucleotides) under uncultured archaeon. RNAcentral's name for it is "bacterial SSU rRNA". It matches the Rfam family "Archaeal small subunit ribosomal RNA", at positions 147 to 774 of the family's 1478-position model. The record is from RNAcentral.